UACGUAGGGUGCAAGCGUUGUCCGGAAUUAUUGGGCGUAAAGAGCUCGUAGGCGGUCUGUCGCGUCGGAUGUGAAAACCCAGGGCUCAACCCUGGGCCUGCAUUCGAUACGGGCAGACUAGAGUUCGGUAGGGGAGACUGGAAUUCCUGGUGUAGCGGUGAAAUGCGCAGAUAUCAGGAGGAACACCGGUGGCGAAGGCGGGCCUCUGGGCCGAAACUGACGCUGAGGAGCGAAAGCGUGGGGAGCAAACAGG
Molecule: ribosomal RNA, 253 nt
Filed under: uncultured bacterium
Lineage: Bacteria
Description: partial 16S ribosomal RNA
Rfam family: Bacterial small subunit ribosomal RNA
Source: RNAcentral